UGAGCAUCUGCGUCGCCCGGAAGGUGAGA
This 29-nucleotide small RNA is filed under the name Bombyx mori (domestic silkworm). RNAcentral describes it as "ovarian small RNA-32207". Lineage: Eukaryota; Metazoa; Arthropoda; Insecta; Lepidoptera; Bombycidae. The record is from RNAcentral.